RNAcentral lists this ribosomal RNA (492 nucleotides) under uncultured bacterium. Its description in RNAcentral is "partial 16S ribosomal RNA". It matches the Rfam family "Bacterial small subunit ribosomal RNA", at positions 29 to 507 of the family's 1533-position model. The record is from RNAcentral.
AUUGAACGCUGGCGGCAUGCUUUACACAUGCGAGUCGGACGGUAACAGGCCUUCGGGUGCUGACGAGUGGCGAACGGGUGAGUAAUGCAUCGGAACGUACCCAGAGGUGGGGGAUAACGCAGCGAAAGCUGUGCUAAUACCGCAUGUGAUCUGAGGAUGAAAGCGGGGGACCGAGCAGCAAUGUUUGGCCUCGCGCCUUUGGAGCGGCCGAUGUCGGAUUAGCUAGUUGGUGGGGUAAAGGCCUACCAAGGCGACGAUCCGUAGCUGGUCUGAGAGGACGACCAGCCACACUGGGACUGAGACACGGCCCAGACUCCUACGGGAGGCAGCAGUGGGGAAUGUUGGACAAUGGGCGCAAGCCUGAUCCAGCAAUGCCGCGUGCGGGAAGAAGGCCUUCGGGUUGUAAACCGCUUUUGGCAGGAACGAAACGGUGUCCGCUAAUACCGGGCGCUAAUGACGGUACCUGCAGAAUAAGCACCGGCUAACUACGUG